This 997-nucleotide long non-coding RNA is filed under the name Pogona vitticeps (central bearded dragon). RNAcentral describes it as "lncRNA (ENSPVIG00000005862.1)". Lineage: Eukaryota; Metazoa; Chordata; Lepidosauria; Squamata; Agamidae. The record is from RNAcentral.
UUGAGGUUUUCCAGGUGCCCACCUUCUGAGUUUUUUUUUUAAACUCCAAAAAAAUGAAACAACAUAAAGCUGACUUUUAUUACUAUCCUCUUUUUGAUGACCUAUGUUUUAAAUCUGGUUUAUAUUGGCCUUGGUGAGCUAUGUGGCCUUUUAUUGUGUUAUAUUGCUUUACUUUUACAUGGAUUGUUUUUGAAUUUAUUGGAUUGUUUGUAUUUAUGUCUAGGCUGUUAAAUGUCCAGAGAGUGCACAUUGUAAUAUUAGGUGGUAUAUAAGAUGAAUGAAUGAAUGAAUGAAUGAAUGAAUGAAUGAAUGAAUGAAUGAAUGAAUGAAUGAAUGGACUGCUGGAGAGCCCAGUGGUUUAGGUCUCUGGUUGCAGAGCCGAAGGUUGGGAGUUCGAUUCCCCUCCCCCGGGCCUCCUUGAGAGGGGCUGGACUGGAUGACCCACAGGGUCCCUUCUAGCUCUGUAUAUCUAAGAUUCCAAUGAAUGCAUGAAUAUUAUGAUAGCAGAGCAAUGAAUUUAGGUCCAAAUUCGAAUCCUGUCUUAGACCUGAAGCUUCUCAGGUCAUCUUGGAAUGGUUUCCUUCCGUCAGUCUAACCAUCCUCCUCAGACUGUUGUAUAGAUCAAGUGGAAAGACAAUGGCCACCUACUUCAGCUGCCUCCUUGAAGAAACGAACAAACACAACCAAAUUGAAAGCCAGCUUGUGAUUUUAGGAAAAAAAUGUCUAAGUCUCACCUAUACAUUGAGCAAAGCUGACUGGGAUCAAGGCUAUUGUUAACUCUUCAGCAAAAGGAGAAGAGAAAUGGAUAGGCUGCAUGUUCAAAAGCUCUGCUGUGAAAACUAGGAUUAUCCUUCCUGUUGAACUCUAACUACGAAUCAAGGUAUUGGCUUAAAGAUAGCCUGAAGAGCUAGCUUUCUAUAUGCAGAGAAUUUAUUUCUAGCAGAUCAGUCAAACCGAGAGGAUGCUCAAAUCAAGACCGUCUACUAAAGCCUUUGAG